GCUGGUGCAGGGUCUGCUACACUUUCCAUGGCUUACGCUGCUGCAAGAUUUGUUGAGUCCUCUCUCCGUGCACUUGAUGGAGAUAGUGAUGUCUAUGAGUGUGCUUUUGUGCAGUCUGAUGUAUCAGAGCUUCCAUUCUUUGCUUCAAGGAUUAAAAUAGGAAAGAAUGGGGUUGAGGCUUUGAUUUCAUCUGACCUUCAAGGAUUGUCCGAGUAUGAACAGAAAGCUCUGGAUGCUUUAAAGCCAGAAUUGAAGUCU
This 258-nucleotide long non-coding RNA is filed under the name Solanum tuberosum (potato). RNAcentral describes it as "long non-coding RNA (STUB_LNC004162)". The record is from RNAcentral. Lineage: Eukaryota; Viridiplantae; Streptophyta; Magnoliopsida; Solanales; Solanaceae.